Molecule: non-coding RNA, 2512 nt
Organism: Oryza sativa Japonica Group (Japanese rice)
Lineage: Eukaryota; Viridiplantae; Streptophyta; Magnoliopsida; Poales; Poaceae
Source: RefSeq, a predicted model, not a curated record
CAGCCCGCAUGCCUGAAAAUGUCUAAGAAAAUAGCGAUUUUUUCAUGCCCACCUCCUCGAUCCAGCAUAAUUACAGCGUAUCAGAGUUACAAUAACACUCGGCUGGACACCUAGCAUCCGCUCACUCUCACGAUGCUAAGUCCCCAUGUGCAGUUACAACCCGUGUGCAUCUCUAUUUAAGAGAGAUCGUAGGACAUAAUCGGACUUUUACACUAUUUCUAUACAUAGUAUAACCCCAAGUACUAAACUGUAACUGACUCUAACACCAAGAACUUAAGGAAAAUAAAGUAGUCGUUGUUUAAUUUCUAUUUAGUCAGAUUAGAGCGUGUGCCAACAUUGUACCCAACAAGUUUUUUUUAGCAUAAUGGAAUGCUGCAAAUUUUAUGCACAUGUACACAAUACUCUUGCAUCCGCAUUAGCUUUUACAAAUUUUGGGGAAUGAAAACUACGUACUCUGGGCUUUUGCACGGUAUGAGAUAUGCACAUCCUCCAUUAUUACAAAGGUACUACACAUGAAGCGGAGAAUUAACUAGGAGAAUUGUGGCAAAUAAAAGCGAAGAUCCAUGUGUGAUAAAAGAGGUACGGGAGGUCACAGAGCGCACUUGCCAUUUUUUUGGGUUCAUCAGCUAGUUCUCUUCUAUUUUACUAGAUCUGUGAAAUGUACGCUGCUCAAGUGCUCAUCUCUUGUGUCUAAACACUAUCGAUUUUGUAGCAUUGGCAUGGAAGGUAUUAGGAAUUUGGUUAUGUGGCAUGCAUCUAAAAGUAGUCGCUCACUACCAGGAUGGGACAAGAGAAGUGAGCCUCCCAACCUACGCACGGGAAGUCUCAGGACUUCUUGAGACCUGCCAUCAAAUACACACGGCAAAACGAGUUGGAAAAGCCCUCGAGCUCCCAUCUGAACAUUCCUUAUUGCUGACACAUCCGGAACAGAAUCCCAAGUGUUUUGAGCUGCUUCUUUAGGCACUCGGGAAACUGUCCCAUCCUGGUAGUAACUCAUGACAUUGCACUGGUGUGUACAGAGAUUACGGCUCCCCAAUUCCAACCGAAACAAUUUAUUUGUCCAUUGAUCACCGCCAAAAAAAAAUUAGAGGCAAAUGAAGGAUAUGUCCUCUUGUCUCUCUUGAUCUCUCAAUUAAUCUAAUCUGAUAGUAACCUUUAUAAAGAAAUAUUAAUAUUGGCACCAUGUGUGCAGCAUUAGAAUUUUAGUAAAUCUCUAAAUGCAUAUACUAACUCAGAACCAUACUGAUCGUGCGAGUGGCUGCAAAGCUAUGCGCAUGUGGAUAUGUAGUAUCAAUUCACAACAGUUUCAUGUGUGAAUUUAAGGGUGCAAGGCUCUGUCCGAGGAGACAUAUUGAAUCAGUUGGAUAUACAUGGACGAAACACUGAUCUCAGCUUAUUCGUUUCAAAGGAAUUGCAAAGAAAAAGUAUAGGAAUAGGAAUGGGUUUUAAACUACCAUUCGUUUCAUAGGAAUGCACCAUAGGAAAACUAUAGGAAAGUUUUCCAUUCCUCCAUUUUUGAAGGAAAAGCAUAGGAAAAAAUAAUCCACUCCAACCUAAUGUUUGCAUCCUUUGAUUGGCUUGCUCAACAACAUAGGAAAAAUUCCUGUGUUUUUCAAUCCAUAGGUUUGCACAUGUAUUCCUGUAGUAUUCCUACGUUUUUCCUAUUCCUACGUUUUGAAAAUCAUGUGAACCGAACGAGCUGCCUACAGUAGUUACCGCUGCACCCGUGCACCGUUCAUGAACUUAUACGGAAUUAUGUAGUUGAGGCAGGACAAGAACCAUUAGACCAAACCUUAGAAAGUUGGUUGUAUAAUUUGAAUAGAAAGUAAUGGUUCAAAUGGAUUUUAAAUCCGAUGUACGAUUCAAAAGAUUGGAUCUAUUAAAAGGAAAGAAAUAAGCAAGUGCUAUCCUUACUUGCUUUGCUGCAUGAGCAUGUAUGGUCAUUAUCUCUAAUUCAGAAAUUGACGGUGGCGAUUAAAACACAUGAGGCCCACCGUCAUUAGCACCGUUAACUCCAGGAUCAUCCAAUCAGUACACAUGAUUUUAUCUCGAACAACUCAACAGAUUAAUUAACAUGCUUAUGCGCUGCCUUAUCAAGGAAAUUAAGCGUGAUCUUGUUGGCUUACGCUAGGAAUUCGGAACAGAUGAGGCAGAUCGUUGCCGCCGCCGCUGUCUAUAUAAGGAGCAGAACCCAUCUAGAGCGGGGGACGCUGACGACGCCACAGGAGACACCCAACCACCAUUUUCAUUCAUCCCAUUCCUCUUAGUAGAUUAGGAAAAUCAGGAGAGGAGAUCGAAGCCUGCCGGUGAUAGCAAACCAGCGCCGCUGCAGAGAAAAAUAAACACCGCAGCCGGCGUUAUUCGUCAAGUCGAUUCAUUUAUCGACAACAUGCCGCCAUUCAGGAUAUUUGCGCUGGAUGGUGAGCACAUUGAAUAAAUAUUAAUUUUCUAGAUUAAACACAAUAGAUGUUCGGUCCUUAUUGGCGAUCGGAACAUCUGCGUGUUUUUAAUC